RNAcentral lists this ribosomal RNA (440 nucleotides) under uncultured bacterium. Its description in RNAcentral is "partial 16S ribosomal RNA". It matches the Rfam family "Bacterial small subunit ribosomal RNA", at positions 338 to 795 of the family's 1533-position model. The record is from RNAcentral.
CCUACGGGCGGCAGCAGUGGGGGAUAUUGCACAAUGGGGGGAACCCUGAUGCAGCGACGCCGCGUGGGUGAAGGAGCGUUUCGGCGCGUAAAGCCCUAUCGGCAGGGAAGAAGAUGACGGUACCUGACCAAGAAGCCCCGGCUAAAUACGUGCCAGCAGCCGCGGUAAUACGUAGGGGGCCAGCGUUAUCCGGAUUUACUGGGUGUAAAGCGGGCGCAGACGGCAAUGCAGGCCAGGAGUGAAAGCCCGGGGCCCAAGCCCGGGACUGCUCUUGGAACUGCAUUGCUGGAGUGCAGGAGGGGCAGGCGGAAUGCCUAGUGUAGCGGUGAAAUGCGUAGAUAUUAGGAGGAACACCGGUGGCGAAGGCGGCCUGCUGGACUGUGACUGACGUUGAGGCCCGAAGGCGUGGGGAGCAAACAGGAUUAGAUACCCCUGUAGUC